RNAcentral lists this ribosomal RNA (429 nucleotides) under Acidobacteriota bacterium. RNAcentral's name for it is "Acidobacteria bacterium partial 16S ribosomal RNA". It matches the Rfam family "Bacterial small subunit ribosomal RNA", at positions 355 to 776 of the family's 1533-position model. Lineage: Bacteria; Pseudomonadati; Acidobacteriota. The record is from RNAcentral.
UGGGGAAUUUUGGACAAUGGGGGAAACCCUGAUCCAGCCAUCCCGCGUGUGCGAUGAAGGCCUUCGGGUUGUAAAGCACUUUUGGCAGGAAAGAAACGUCAUGGGUUAAUACCCCGUGAAACUGACGGUACCUGCAGAAUAAGCACCGGCUAACUACGUGCCAGCAGCCGCGGUAAUACGUAGGGUGCAAGCGUUAAUCGGAAUUACUGGGCGUAAAGCGUGCGCAGGCGGUUCGGAAAGAAAGAUGUGAAAUCCCAGAGCUCAACUUUGGAACUGCAUUUUUAACUAACGGGCUAGAGUGUGUCAGAGGGAGGUGGAAUUCCGCGUGUAGCAGUGAAAUGCGUAGAUAUGCGGAGGAACACCGAUGGCGAAGUCAGCCUCCUGGAAUAACACUGACGCUCAUGCACAAAAGCGUGGGGAGCAAACGGG